Molecule: ribosomal RNA, 443 nt
Filed under: uncultured bacterium
Lineage: Bacteria
Description: partial 16S ribosomal RNA
Rfam family: Bacterial small subunit ribosomal RNA
Source: RNAcentral
CCUACGGGGCGCAGCAGUGGGGAAUAUUGGGCAAUGGGCGCAAGCCUGACCCCGCAACGCCGCGUGAAGGAAGAAGGCUUUCGGGUUGUAAACUUCUUUUCUGAGGGACGAAGAACGUGCCGGUACCUCAGGACUAAGCCACGGCUAACUACGUGCCAGCAGCCGCGGUAAAACGGAGGUGGCCAGCGUUAUCCGGAUUUAUGGGGUGUAAAGGGCGUGUAGGCGGGAAAGCAAGUCAGAUGUGAAAACUCAGGGCUCAACCCUGAGCCUGCAUUUGAAACUGUUGUUCUUGAGUGCUGGAGAGGCAAUCGGAAUUCCGGGUGUAGCGGUGAAAUGCGUAGAUAUACGGAGGAACACCAGUGGCGAAGGCGGAUUGCUGGACAGUAACUGACGCUGAGUCGCGAAAGCGUGGGGAGCAAACAGGAUUAGAUACCCCUGUAGUC